Molecule: long non-coding RNA, 1347 nt
Filed under: Panax ginseng (ginseng)
Lineage: Eukaryota; Viridiplantae; Streptophyta; Magnoliopsida; Apiales; Araliaceae
Description: long non-coding RNA (PGIN_LNC014691)
Source: RNAcentral
CAAUAUUUAUACAUGGAUUCAUUUCUUUCAAAUUUAUGUGAUACUAUGUCUAUGUGAGGUUGAUAAGGAAGAACUAAUUUUUUGUUCUUUCCUUACCUUUCUAAUACAGGAACUGUUAGGCAGACCAAUUAGUUUGAAAUUUAGUCAAAAAAGCAUUGGUGAAGCUCAAAGUAAAGAGGAAAAUACUUCUGAGGAACAACUUGAAGAGUCAUAGUUCAGAAUAAACUAUUUGGGCCUCUUGAUUUGUUGUUGAUGGAUAAAGAGGCAAUAGCAAAUAUCUUCACCUCAAUGUGCACAAGAAGCUAAUGAAGAGCAUUAUGUUCACGACAAUUUUGCAUUUACUGUAAAUGCACUCUUUGUGAGUACUCCAAAUUAACUGUUCAUGUAUCUACUAACUUUUUCAUCAAGUGUGAAUGUUAUAUGUUACCUGUACUGUUUACAUUUGUAAAGAUUAUUUAUUAUAUGUAGUACAUUUUGUUGUUACUUAAUAUUUUUCGGCAUUACCUAUUGAUAGCUCGUUGAUAAGGUAUUUGUUUGGAUGUGAAUUGAAUGAGGACAAUUGUCAUGCUCUUGUUAAUUACUCAUUUUGUAUUUUUUGUUGCAGUCUGCACAAUACAUCACCAAUUAACAAAACCAGUCUUUACCUUGUCAAGUUUCUGAUUGAAAGAAUGUUGUAUUUUUUCAUGCUGAAUAUCAGUGGUAGCAUUCAAUUUACACUAAAGUAUCAAGAGUACAAUUCGAACAGUAAUUGUCUAAAGGUAUUUGUUUUUUAGGAUUGUAUAUAGUUCUGUAUUGAAAGAAGGAUCUGUAUCCCACAAAUGACAAAACUGACUGAAAUGAUGCGUGAUUAGAUAGGUUAUUUGAAUUCCCCGUAAGCAAAAAACUUGAGUGUAGUGUACAAGUACUUACCUAAAGGUAUUUGUUUUUAAAUGUAGGUUAUAAGUCUACAGAUGUUGAGGAUAUAUAUGUUCUGGUUGGUUGAUGAGGCAAAGUCUCAACCACAAUGUAUAACUGAAGACCUUCUCAACAACUAUACAUUGAAUAAUGUCAUUCAAAAGUUCAAAGUGCAAAUGCUACACAAUUGUCUUUAUAUUAAUUUAAUAGUACAAAAAUGCACUUAGUUGCAUUUGAGGGGAGUGUUAAGUAUGAUAUACACCCUAUCUAAUAGAUUAAUAAGCUUUUAUACGAGUGGUUAUGUUGAGCAUGACAAUGUACUACACCCUGUUGAUUGCUUUCAACUUAAUUAAGGAAGAAUAGUAUAUUAGUAUUAAUUGAUUAUUUAAAGCUUGACCCGCCUCUUGUAAAGCACAAUAUCUGUAAUUAUUGAGUUCUAUAUAUACAUUCCAU